UAGUCCUAGCUGUAAACGAUGAGCACUAGAUGGGAGGGGGCUUGCCCUGUCCGGUCGCAGCGAAAGCAUUAAGUGCUCCGCCUGGGGAGUAUGGUCGCAAGGCUGAAACUCAAAGGAAUAGACGGGGACCCGCACAAGUGGUGGAGCAUGUGGUUUAAUUCGAAGAUACGCGAAGAACCUUACCUAGCCUUGACAUAUUUUAGAACACUUUAGAGAUAGAGUGGUGCCUUCGGGAGCUAAUAUACAGGUGCUGCACGGCUGUCGUCAGCUCGUGUCGUGAGAUGUUGGGUUAAGUCCCGCAACGAGCGCAACCCUCGUCACUAGUUACUAACGGUUCGGCCGAGGACUCUAGUGAGACUGCCUUCGCAAGGAGGAGGAAGGUGAGGACGACGUCAAGUCAUCAUGGCCCUUACGGCUAGGGCAACACACGUGCUACAAUGGCCAGGACAAUGAGAAGCGAUACCGCGAGGUGGAGCAAAUCUAUAAACCUGGUCUCAGUUC
RNAcentral lists this ribosomal RNA (501 nucleotides) under uncultured bacterium. RNAcentral describes it as "bacterial SSU rRNA". It matches the Rfam family "Bacterial small subunit ribosomal RNA", at positions 791 to 1294 of the family's 1533-position model. The record is from RNAcentral.